Molecule: ribosomal RNA, 392 nt
Filed under: uncultured bacterium
Lineage: Bacteria
Description: partial 16S ribosomal RNA
Rfam family: Bacterial small subunit ribosomal RNA
Source: RNAcentral
AUACGGAGGAUCCGAGCGUUAUCCGGAUUUAUUGGGUUUAAAGGGUGCGCAGUCGGCCAUUUAAGUCAGCGGUUAAAUCGUGGGGCUCAACCCCAUUCUGCCGUUGAUACUGGGUGGCUUGAUUGCGGUCGAGGUUGGCGGAAUUCGUUGUGUAGCGGUGAAAUGCAUAGAUAUGACGAAGAACACCGAUUGCGUAGGCAGCUGACCAGACCGCAAAUGACGCUCAUGCACGAAAGUGCGGGGAUCGAACAGGAUUAGAUACCCUGGUAGUCCGCACAGUAAACGAUGAAUACUUGUUUUCGGCGAUAUAAUGUCGGAGGCAAAGCGAAAGCGAUAAGUAUUCCACCUGGGGAGUACGCCGGCAACGGUGAAACUCAAAUGAAUUGACGGGG